AUUACAGAAUGAAAAGUGCUUAACUGCAUUUUUUCUUACACGUGUGUUUUUCUUUUUUUGAAAACUUUGCUUUGGUAGGCCUUCUAUAUGGGGCCUGCCAGAGAUUAAACUCAACCAAAUUUUAUUUAAUGUCAACCGAUUAUUUAAUAGUCAAAACUUUCAACAACGGAUCUCUUGGUUCUCGCAUCGAUGAAGAACGCAGCGAAAUGCGAUAAGUAAUAUGAAUUGCAGAUAUUCGUGAAUCAUCGAAUCUUUGAACGCACAUUGCGCCCUUUGGUAUUCCAAAGGGCAUGCCUGUUUGAGCGUCAUUUCUCCCUCAAACCCUCGGGUUUGGUGUUGAGCGAUACGCUGGGUUUGCUUGAAAGAAAGGCGGAGUAUAAACUAAUGGAUAGGUUUUUUCCACUCAUUGGUACAAACUCCAAAACUUCUUCCAAAUUCGACCUCAAAUCAGGUAGGACUACCCGCUGAACU
RNAcentral lists this small RNA (471 nucleotides) under uncultured fungus. RNAcentral describes it as "eukaryotic LSU rRNA". The stretch from base 155 to 308 matches the Rfam family "5.8S ribosomal RNA". Lineage: Eukaryota; Fungi. The record is from RNAcentral.